This 410-nucleotide transfer-messenger RNA is filed under the name Candidatus Peribacteria bacterium RIFOXYA1_FULL_56_14. It matches the Rfam family "transfer-messenger RNA". From Rfam's summary of the family: Bacterial tmRNA, also known as 10Sa RNA or SsrA, is named for its dual tRNA and mRNA-like properties. Its role is to liberate the mRNA from a stalled ribosome. Lineage: Bacteria; Candidatus Peregrinibacteriota; Candidatus Peribacteria. RNAcentral also lists the same sequence under 7 other names. The record is from RNAcentral.
GGGGAUGAAAGGCUUCGACAGCGUGAUUUCUAGCGUUCGAUCGCUUCUGUUCGGGAUGGCAACGGUUCCCGUUACCCACAUGUUGCACCCAAUAAUUGCCGACAAUCUUGUUAGCAAGGCCAACCGCAUUGCUGAGGGUGUCCUGGCUCGUCUGAGUCCGGUUCCUCUGUACGCGAUGGCCGCUUAGUCCGCCCAGCGCGGACACGUCUCUCCUCUUACCCUCGCUACGGGGAUGAGGCGUCAUCAGCGAGGUGUACUGCGCCCUGAUGUGCACGCAGUAGACAUACAGCAUCACCCCUCUCUGCCGUUCUUCGUCUCUUUCUUAUGGCAGGGAGUACCGAAAGAGACAUGACAGUACGGGCACGUUCUCUACACGUUGGACCCGGGUUCAAUUCCCGGCAUCUCCACCA